CCACCGUUUAUAUCAAUUGAAUCAUUCUUCACCAUCACUUGUCUCUUUCGAUUCAUUCCAAAACCACCACCUCUAUCUCAGUCUUAGUUACAGUUCAUCGUAUCGCCGCUGCCGUCGACGGGUUACAGCUUUUUCGAUACUCAAUUCUUCAUCUCAGUGUCCUCGCCAAGAAAAUGGUAUAAAUUGUGGGUACUUUGUGAUGAGGUUUAUGAAAAAGAUUCUCAUUUCAAAACUAAAUGAGAUUCCAAAGCUGUACAUUGAUGGUUUCAAGUGUGUGACAUACUCAAAAGAUUAACUAAUAGAAAUCCAAGAAGAAUGGUGUCGGUUCAUGAUCAACCUAAAAGUUAUAUGAUUUUUUUAUAAUAAAGUGGAGGAGAGUGAACGAAAUUUGGAAAUGAAUGAUGAUUUGCCUGCUUGUUUUGGAUAAAAAUGUUGUGACGACCAAGAAGAUAGAUGAAGACUGCAUGCUACCAUAGAAGAUUUUGAUCCUUAUGUUAACUAAUUAGUUGUAACUUAUAUUAAUGGCUAUACAUUAUGACUUUUAUUCUGUAUAUACAUACAUUUUUUAUGAUAUGUUUAAGUUUUAUUU
RNAcentral lists this long non-coding RNA (589 nucleotides) under Medicago truncatula (barrel medic). RNAcentral's name for it is "lncRNA gene19972". The record is from RNAcentral. Lineage: Eukaryota; Viridiplantae; Streptophyta; Magnoliopsida; Fabales; Fabaceae.